This 496-nucleotide ribosomal RNA is filed under the name uncultured bacterium. Its description in RNAcentral is "partial 16S ribosomal RNA". It matches the Rfam family "Bacterial small subunit ribosomal RNA", at positions 29 to 507 of the family's 1533-position model. The record is from RNAcentral.
AUGAACGCUGGCGGCGUGCCUAAUACAUGCAAGUCGAGCGAACGGACGAGAAGCUUGCUUCUCUGAUGUUAGCGGCGGACGGGUGAGUAACACGUGGAUAACCUACCUAUAAGACUGGGAUAACUUCGGGAAACCGUAGCUAAUACCGGAUAAUAUUUUGAACCGCAUGGUUCAAAAGUGAAAGACGGUCUUGCUGUCACUUAUAGAUGGAUCCGCGCUGCAUUAGCUAGUUGGUAAGGUAACGGCUUACCAAGGCAACGAUGCAUAGCCGACCUGAGAGGGUGAUCGGCCACACUGGAACUGAGACACGGUCCAGACUCCUACGGGAGGCAGCAGUAGGGAAUCUUCCGCAAUGGGCGAAAGCCUGACGGAGCAACGCCGCGUGAGUGAUGAAGGUCUUCGGAUCGUAAAACUCUGUUAUUGGGGAAGAACAUAUGUGUAAGUAACUGUGCACAUCUUGACGGUACCUAAUCAGAAAGCCACGGCUAACUACGUG